RNAcentral lists this ribosomal RNA (301 nucleotides) under uncultured bacterium. Its description in RNAcentral is "partial 16S ribosomal RNA". It matches the Rfam family "Bacterial small subunit ribosomal RNA", at positions 509 to 807 of the family's 1533-position model. The record is from RNAcentral.
CAGUCGCCACGGUAAUACAGAGGGUGCAAGCGUUAAUCGGAAUUACUGGGCGUAAAGGGCGCGUAGGUGGUUGUGUAAGUGAGAUGUGAAAUCCCCGGGCUCAACCUGGGAACUGCGUCUUAUACUGCAUAGCUUGAGUACAAUAGAGGGUAGUGGAAUUUCCGGUGUAGCGGUGAAAUGCGUAGAUAUCGGAAGGAACACCAGUGGCGAAGGCGGCUACCUGGAUUGAUACUGACACUGAGGCGCGAGAGCGUGGGGAGCAAACAGGAUUAGAUACCCCUGUAGUCCCUGUCUCUUAUAC